RNAcentral lists this ribosomal RNA (226 nucleotides) under Methylotenera sp. RNAcentral's name for it is "partial 23S ribosomal RNA". It matches the Rfam family "Bacterial large subunit ribosomal RNA", at positions 2705 to 2925 of the family's 2925-position model. The record is from RNAcentral. Lineage: Bacteria; Pseudomonadati; Pseudomonadota; Betaproteobacteria; Nitrosomonadales; Methylophilaceae.
AUCUCUGGUGGACCGGUUGUCAUGCCAAUGGCAUAGCCGGGUAGCUAAAUACGGAAGAGAUAAACGCUGAAAGCAUCUAAGCGUGAAACUCGCCUUGAGAUGAGAUUUCCCUGGGGGUUUAACCCCCCUAAAGAGUCGUUCGAGACCAGGACGUUGAUAGGACGGAUGUGGAAGUGCAGUAAUGCAUUAAGCUGACCGUUACUAAUUGCUCGUGAGGCUUGAUCCU